RNAcentral lists this unclassified non-coding RNA (346 nucleotides) under soil metagenome. RNAcentral describes it as "partial contains 5.8S ribosomal RNA, internal transcribed spacer 2, and large subunit ribosomal RNA". The stretch from base 1 to 120 matches the Rfam family "5.8S ribosomal RNA", at positions 35 to 154 of the family's 154-position model. The record is from RNAcentral.
GAUGAAGAACGCAGCGAAAUGCGAUAAGUAAUGUGAAUUGCAGAAUUCAGUGAAUCAUCGAAUCUUUGAACGCACAUUGCGCCCGCUGGUAUUCCGGCGGGCAUGCCUGUUCGAGCGUCAUUUCAACCCUCAAACCCCCGGGUUUGGUGUUGGGGAUCGGCUCUGCCUCACGGCGGUGCCGCCCCCGAAAUACAUUGGCGGUCUCGCUGCAGCCUCCAUUGCGUUGUAGCUAACACCUCGCAACUGGAACGCGGCGCGGCCAUGCCGUAAAACCCCAACUUCUGAAUGUUGACCUCGGAUCAGGUAGGAAUACCCGCUGAACUUAAGCAUAUCAAUAAGCGGAGGA